AUACGUAGGGUGCGAGCGUUGUCCGGAAUUACUGGGCGUAAAGAGCUCGUAGGUGGUUUGUCGCGUCGUCUGUGAAAUUCCGGGGCUUAACUCCGGGCGUGCAGGCGAUACGGGCAUAACUUGAGUACUGUAGGGGAGACUGGAAUUCCUGGUGUAGCGGGGAAAUGCGCAGAUAUCAGGAGGAACACCGGUGGCGAAGGCGGGUCUCUGGGCAGUAACUGACGCUGAGGAGCGAAAGCAUGGGUAGCGAACAGGAUUAGAUACCCUGGUAGUCCAUGCCGUAAACGGUGGGCGCUAGGUGUAGGGGUCUUCCACGACUUCUGUGCCGUAGCUAACGCAUUAAGCGCCCCGCCUGGGGAGUACGGCCGCAAGGCUAAAACUCAAAGGAAUUGACGGGG
RNAcentral lists this ribosomal RNA (398 nucleotides) under uncultured bacterium. RNAcentral describes it as "partial 16S ribosomal RNA". It matches the Rfam family "Bacterial small subunit ribosomal RNA", at positions 523 to 918 of the family's 1533-position model. The record is from RNAcentral.